Danio rerio (zebrafish) is the source of this 115-nucleotide non-coding RNA. Lineage: Eukaryota; Metazoa; Chordata; Actinopteri; Cypriniformes; Danionidae. The record is from Rfam.
ACCGGCAGCUAGCUCUCUGCAACUCUCACAUGGUCGCCCACUGAAGCUAAGCAGGGCUGCGCCCGGUCAGUACCUGGAUGGGAGACCACUUGGGAAAGCUAGGUUGCUGCCGGAA